AGGUAGUAAAAUAUUUAUUAAACCUAUUUAAUUUGGCGGCAUAACAUCUUAUUAGAGGAAUUUGUCUAUUAAUUGAUAAUCCGCAAUAAAUUUUACUUUUUUAAAUAAUUUAUAUACCGCCAUCUAAAGAAUUAAUUUUUAAAUAUUAUUCAUAAUAAUUAUUAAAAAGUUAGGUCAAGGUGUAGUUUACAAAAAAGCAUAGAUGAAUUACAUUAAAGUUAAUUUAAGAAUUAAAUAAAUAAAUUUUUUUAUGAAAAAGGAUUUAAAAGUAAAUAUUUAAUAAUAUUAAUAAUUGAAUUAGAUAGAAAUGUGU
This 313-nucleotide ribosomal RNA is filed under the name Psechrus sp. PS9. RNAcentral's name for it is "partial 12S ribosomal RNA". Lineage: Eukaryota; Metazoa; Arthropoda; Arachnida; Araneae; Psechridae. The record is from RNAcentral.